ACAAGCGUCCUCUCCUGCUGCCGUGUGAGAUAUGGCUGCUUCCCGUUCUGCCAUGAUGCGCUCUUCAAGGGUACCCGAAGCGAAUUUGCACCAAAGCAGCAGCUGCGUUGCUGCAGUUCUAUCUUCACCUUCACGAUGUUUCUCUUGGUCAAAAACACACUCAAGUCGUCUCCAAGUUCGAAGCAUUCAGCAAACAAUGGCAAGGCAGAGCCACCAGAAAGGUGCAGGAUUUCAGACGAGUAGCCACCUGGAUGAGAUACUGAUUUUCCUGCUGAGUAGGAGUUGAAACAGAAUGGAGGGUGGAGAGAAAGGAACCAGAAACAUGGAAGAAAACUGGAACCAGCUCACACAGAGCAUCUGAGGAGGAGAGGGAAGAAAAGCCUGCAGGAGCCCCUUUUGCCCUUGACUGCCCUGUCCUGGAAGUGACCCCUCACUUCUGCUCAGAUUCCAUCAGUGAGAACGAGGCACAGGGACCCACCGAGACACCAAUGGGCUGUGGGCUGAGGAAGAGGUCCUUGUUCUGCGCUUCCUGAGUCUGGAAUUCCUUGUCCUCCUCCUUUGCCUGGUGAACUCCUACUCAUCCGUCAAAGCUCAAAUCAAUCAAAUAUUUCUUUAUGAGGUCUGUUGUGAAUCUCCUGGUUGAAACACAAUAGGAACUUCUUGUGUAAAUAAAUAAUGAAAUAAAACAGCAAAGUGGAAAGAGAUGAGAAUAAAGAAAUCACUGGAACAAUUAGGAGGAGACCCUUGAGAAACUCACCAGAAAGUGAGUGCCACUCCCCGGGGUGACUGGCUUAGCACUCUCUAGGCAGUGUGAAGCUUGCAUCUUCCAUACCUGUGGUCUCACUUUCAUAAUAUUUUGUAUGUAUGAAUUUUAGCAUGUGUACUCCCCCCACCACACACCCACACAUACCCACACUCACCCAUACUUUUUACUUACGUAUUUAAAAAAAUUUUUGUUUCUUCCUUUUUUUAUUUUAAAGCAACUGUACCCUUUGUUUAAAGGAAAUCAUAAGGAAACCCUACAAAACAAACAGCAGUAGAGCUCCUUUAUUGAAGUGUGUGUGGGGCCCACUCCAUCUUCCCUUCAUCCAAGGCAGCUCUGGUCAUGCAUCUCAAUGAAAGCCUGAAGUUCCCAAAACAUUUUAAAAUCUAAGGCUUAAAAAAUGCUGAUGUGCAUAUAUAAAGGCCAAAGUUCUUGGCUUGACACACCUGACCUUCCGUCUACCUUACCUCUUUCAUCUCUUGUGACUAUGCUCCAUGAAUUUUAGACUCCAGCCACUCAAUUUUGUUGUUUCUCAAAGGAUUAUUCCUUUUUAUACCUCUUGGGUGCUUCACAGGCUUUCCUUUUCCUGGCAUGUCCUGUCCCCUUCUCUGCCUGACUCCAUCUCAAAAGCCACUACUUCUCUGAAGGGCUGUCUCUGAUGGUGUUAUGCAGAGUUCAUUAUUGCCUCUUCUGUGUUCUAAAGCACUUUGUUAGGUUUGUAUAUCGUAUUUGUAUUAUGACAAUGUGACUAAUGACAAUGCGUUUAGGUCUGGUGAGAUUAAACAUGAAGCAUGGGCACAGAUUAUUGGGACAGGGUAGCAGUGGGUUGAUUUCAUGUGCUAUAAUAUUUCAACAUUUCUAACUCCCUUCCUUGCUGGGAAGUUGUGUGCAUGUGUGCGUGUGUUGCGUGCAUGCAUGUGUGUGUGCACGUGUGUGUUUAUGCUUCAGACCCUCUCCACUUCCUCUCCAAUCUAUACUGUGUUGAUGCAGGGGAAUAAUCAGACAACACAAGCUGUGCAGUCAGGGGAUGUUUCAAGAUGUGACACAGGAAGUGUCCUAGAACUUGUUCCUGUUCAAUGGGGAAAUCCAUGUUUAGUUAUCCUUCUUGCCAAGAACUAAGGAGGAAUUUAAUUGUUCUCUUUACUUAAAUACCUACAGAAGGCCGACCAAGGUGGCAAAAGUGCAGAAUGCCCAGAUUAGAGAUCUACAAAGCCACAGGGCUUUGCAAACAGGAGGAAUAGACAUUUCUGGCCAACAAAUUAUUAACAACUGCCUCCUUACAAGGAGUGGGGAGGAAACCUCUUUAGCAACACACUACUGAUAAAGAAACUUGAGGUUUCCAUAUAUGGAGACUAAAAUGAUGUACAAAGAGUUCUAAGGGUCCUGAAAUAAGGAACCAUCAUCCCAGCAUGGAACAGUGAAGUAGAAGGGGAACAGCAAGAUGAAGACUCCAGACAAGGCCCAAGCACACACAGCUGCUCCAGCCACACCCGCUGGUCUCAGUUGACUGGUUUGGAGGUGGACAUCUCACUCAAGCUCGGCCAAUGGGUGUCCCUCCUCUGGGGCUUUUGAACAUGGGAUUUUAGAGAGCUUGAGGAUGUCACUGGAGGCUGAUGUAACUCUUGGAGCUAUUGGAAACUAUUAGGAGAAUGCCAAUUAGCAGCAAGGAAGAGGUGAGCUCACAUGCAGAGAGAAACAGCUGCAGAGACUUGAUGACAUUAUUGGUUCUGGAUCCCAUCACGGCUGAAGGUUGCUUAUCAUUCUGCCCUUCACCUGGCUUAGUCUGGGAAGUGAUUUCUUAAUUUUCUCCAAGGCAAUACAUGUCCCUCUCCAUUUUAGCUGGCCUAAGAUAAUUUUUGUCAAUUGGAACCAAAUAGCUCUCAUUAAUACUGAUCACUGUACACUUUCCUGUCGAAAAUUUGAAAAUGGUUCUUCAUUCCCCUAGGAAUACAAAGCAAAAAUAAAAAUCUCUACCAUAGCCUACAAGGCCAGCGUGGGCUGGCUCCUUUCUGGCUCCUAGACCUCAAGUUGUAUCCUUGGACAUCACCUAUUAACAGGCCCUUGUCCAUGGGGCUCCCUCCAUGUGGAAUGCCCUCCCUUCGACCCUACUCAGUCUUCAGAUUACAGACCGACCACAGCUUCUCUGGGAAGCAUUUUCUGACCUCCGUGGCAGACCAAACUCCCAUGGAAUAGUCCCUUGGAGUACCAAGUCACCAUCUCCCCAGCACUUGCCACAAUUGUAAUUGUACUUUCAUUUGUGAUUAUGUGAUGGUUAUUUGUCUCACCUGCUGUCAGAUCAGUGGCAGCAUUAGAUUCUCCUAGGAAAAACCAACUCAGGGAUCCCAUUGAUUCUACAUUAUGGUGAGUAUGAAUAAUAAUAGGAAUAAAGUACACAAUAAAUGUUAUGUGCUGGAAUCAUCCUGAAACCAUUUCCCCACCCACCGUCCAUGGAAAAAUCAUCUUCCAUAAAACCGGCCAAAAAGGUUUGGGGACCACUGCUCUACACCAUCUCCAGCACCCAACUCAGUACCGUAGUGGCUGUCAGAUGGGUUUGCAACUUCAUGGACACUCCUCCUCUCAAAUUCUCCUUAAGUGGGCCCAGCUUGGUGACUCAUUUCUAAUGAAUGAAAUGCAGUGAAAGUGAUGUGAUGUAAUUUCUCAGGCUAAGUCCUAAAAGGAAGCUGCUUCCACUUGGCUGUCCCUCGAGGACUGUUUACUUUGAGAAAGGCUAUCUGUCAUUUUGUGAGGACACUCAAGCAGCAUGUGGAGGGCCCUAUAUAGGGAAGAACUGGGUCCUCCCACCAGUGGCUGUUACCAGCUCACUAGCCAUGCAAGUGAACCACCGUGGACAUAAAUCUUUUAUUCCAGUCCAGCCUCCAGACGACUGCAACCCCAAAUAACAUCAUUACUGCAAUCUUAUGAGGGACCCUGAGCCAGAACCACCCAGUUAAGUUACUCCCAAAUUCCUGAUCCACAAAACUGAGUGAGAUAAUAAAUAUUUAUUAUUUUAAGCCACUAAGUUUUGGGAUGAUUUGUUGUGCAAUAGGUAUGCCUGGCACGCAGUAGAUAUUCAGUGGCUAUUUGUUGCCUGUCUGGAUAAAUAAUACAGUGGAUAAAUCAAACUUAAAUUAUAGCCAAUGUUUUAAGCCUCCUCCUCUGCCCAUUUGGAUUUCUCCUAGCUCUGACAUUCUGGGCCCUAUGAUUGUAGUUGAUGUUGUCAGUGGCUGGCUUGUAUCACCCAGACCUUUCCAUGCUCCAUAUCUACUUCUUACUGCCAGGGUUUGUCUUUAGGGAUCAAAUCUUUGGAUAAUUCUAGGGAGUAUGUUUGCUCCAUUUCCCAAAGGAUUUGAGCUUCAGUUACUCAUAGGGGCCACUGGUUUAAUAACACAUGCUUUAUUCAUUGCCUCCCCUUCCUUGUAUUAUUCCACUACUUCCUUGCAUGUCCCAUAUCAACUACUUGUGCUCAGAUCCUUUCUUUAGGGUCUGCUUUUUUGGGGGACCCCACACUAAUACCGUGCUCUUUUUUGCAGGUAGGGGCCAUGCCUUGUACUUUCUUGUGCUCCCACAGGGCCUGAGACUGAGCCAGGUUCUCAAUUCUAGAACCAGUCUCCAGGUAUCCCUGUAGGAAGGUCCCCAUAGCUCUGGUGCCAGGAACUAAGAGAUGGAGUCCAUUGGAGGAAGACCAAAGCACACUUCUCUUGAGGAAGUGCCUGUUUUUAACUCCACAUCCUUUUGCCCUGUUCUCGUCUGCUCUGAUGGGAGCUCCUGGGUCUACCUGGGUGUCCUUAUAAGAGAAAGGGACAUUACACACAAACACACACGGCAAGGCUGUGAGAAGAUGGAGGCAAAGUGGAGUGAUGCGUCUACAAGUCAAAGAAGAAUAAGGGUUGCUGGAACCACCAGAAACUACGAGAGAGGCAUGGAUCAGAUUUUCCCUUGGAGCCUCCAGAAGGAGCUAUCUCUGCCAAUACCUGGAUUUCAGACUUCUGGCUUUCUGAAUGAAAAACAUUGCUGUCCCUUGCUACAGGAUGCUUCUCAAAUGCCAAGAAUUCUACCAUGCCCCUGGCCAGCUCCAUCAGACAAGAUGGGCAGAAGGCAGCACUGCCCCAAGGUGGCACUGCCAGGGACUUCCAUCCCCCUCCAGCCACCAGAGUGACUGAGGACCAUGGAGAUUGAGAGCCCCAGGAAAUACUCCUUACCUGGGCUUUCACAGCCCGAGAGACCACCAGGAUGAACCCCACACACAGCUGCCACCAGGAACCACAGCCCCGGGUCAGGACAGUGAAUUUAGAUAAGAUGCUCUGGAAGGAACACCUGCCCAGUAACAGCACCUCUACCAAUGAACUGACUCCAAUGCUGGCUUCGAGGCUCUAAAAUCAGUAAACUCUGUUUCCCAGCAGCUUAUGUGAAUGUCUCCUUUUGC
RNAcentral lists this long non-coding RNA (5186 nucleotides) under Homo sapiens (human). Its description in RNAcentral is "HSALNT0405915". Lineage: Eukaryota; Metazoa; Chordata; Mammalia; Primates; Hominidae. The record is from RNAcentral.